UUCCAGAGAUGGAUUCGUGCUCGAAAGAGAGCCAUAACACAGGUGCUGCAUGGCUGUCGUCAGCUCGUGUCGUGAGAUGUUGGGUUAAGUCCCGCAACGAGCGCAACCCUUGUCAUUAGUUGCUACAUUCAGUUGGGCACUCUAAUGAGACUGCCGGUGACAAACCGGAGGAAGGUGGGGAUGACGUCAAGUCCUCAUGGCCCUUAUAGGUGGGGCUACACACGUCAUACAAUGGCCGGUACAAAGGGUCGCAAACCCGCGAGGGGGAGCCAAUCCAUCAAAGCCGGUCGUAGUCCGGAUCGCAGUCUGCAACUCGACUGCGUGAAGUCGGAAUCGCUAGUAAUCGUGGAUCAGCAUGUCACGGUGAAUACGUUCCCGGGUCUU
This 384-nucleotide ribosomal RNA is filed under the name uncultured Hydrogenophaga sp. RNAcentral's name for it is "bacterial SSU rRNA". It matches the Rfam family "Bacterial small subunit ribosomal RNA", at positions 998 to 1382 of the family's 1533-position model. The record is from RNAcentral. Lineage: Bacteria; Pseudomonadati; Pseudomonadota; Betaproteobacteria; Burkholderiales; Comamonadaceae.